Molecule: long non-coding RNA, 961 nt
Filed under: Prunus persica (peach)
Lineage: Eukaryota; Viridiplantae; Streptophyta; Magnoliopsida; Rosales; Rosaceae
Description: long non-coding RNA (PPER_LNC007441)
Source: RNAcentral
CUUACACUUUCUACUCAAAAAAUCAAUCUACAAUCUCUAUUUGUUUCUUUGUGUUAUUGUGUGAUCUUUGAAAAUGGCGAAUUACCAGAACCAAUAUGGUGCAACGGCCCAAUCUACAAAUGAUUACGGGAACCCACUCACCAACUACACCGGAUCAGAGCCCCAAUCUACAAAUGAGUACGGGGCUACAGAUGAGUAUGGGAACCCAGUCACCACCUACACCAGAUCAGAGCCCCACUAUACAGAUGAGUAUGGGAACCCAGUACGCGAAAGGGGGAUGAUGGACAAGAUCAAGGAGAAGCUCCCAGGUACUCAUGACCCCUACUCAUCUCAUUCUCAGACAACCUACCCCACUGCACGUUACGGUGAAACCGGCUACACUGGAUUGGAGCAGCACCAUGGGAUGAUGAACAAGAUGCCAGGUACUGACCCCUACUCAUCUCAUUCUCAUACAACCGGCACCACUGCACCUUACGAUGGAACCGGCUACACCGGAACAGAGUACCGCCAGCACAAGGGCACGAUGGACAGGAUCAAGGAUAAGCUGACUGGGACUGGUGGACAUAGGGUGGAUGAUCCCUACUCAUCUCAUUCUCAUAAAACCGCCACCACCACACCUUACGGUGGCACCACCACCACAGCUUACGGUGACAGCACCACCACACCUUCACCUUACGGUGGCACCACCACCACACAUUCACCUUACGGUGGCACCACCACCACAGCUUACGGUGACACCACCACCACACCUUCAGCUUACGGUGGCACCACCACCACACCUUCAGCUUACGGUGGCACCGCCACCACCACCUACCCCCGUGAAAAGAAGGGCAUCAUGGACAAGAUCAAAGAGAAACUUCCUGGUGGACAUCAUUAUUAAUAAUAGGGUUAUGUAAGAGAUAGAUACGUUAGGUAUCGUUUUGUGUUCAAUGUUUUAGUAUGACGUGUAUAAUAAGCGGUG